RNAcentral lists this ribosomal RNA (390 nucleotides) under uncultured bacterium. Its description in RNAcentral is "bacterial SSU rRNA". It matches the Rfam family "Bacterial small subunit ribosomal RNA", at positions 30 to 424 of the family's 1533-position model. The record is from RNAcentral.
AUUGAACGCUGGCGGCAUGCCUUACACAUGCAAGUCGAACGGCAGCACGGGGCAACCUGGUGGCGAGUGGCGAACGGGUGAGUAAUGCAUCGGAACGUGCCAUUGAGUGGGGGAUAACGUAGCGAAAGUUGCGCUAAUACCGCAUAUUCUGUGAGCAGGAAAGCAGGGGACCGCAAGGCCUUGCGCUCUUUGAGCGGCCGAUGUCAGAUUAGCUAGUUGGUGAGGUAACGGCUUACCAAGGCGACGAUCUGUAGCGGGUCUGAGAGGAUGAUCCGCCACACUGGAACUGAGACACGGUCCAGACUCCUACGGGAGGCAGCAGUGGGGAAUUUUGGACAAUGGGCGCAAGCCUGAUCCAGCCAUGCCGCGUGAGUGAAGAAGGCCUCGGUU